AAAAAACAAGCAAGGCUUCAAAACAUGCAAGAAGAAAAAUAAGAACACAUAUCAAUAAAUAAGAACACAUAUCGAUUAAGUGUUGAAAAGAAAAUGAAUUGUUGAGUAUUUCUUAAGUAAUGAUCUUGUAUUACAGAAUAGGAAAGUGAUAUAUUUAAUACGAAAACGCCAGAGGUGAGUAUAAUUGUGCGGAUUUUUUUUUAAAUUUACAAAUUAUUAUAUUAAUGAUUAAUUAGUUAUUUUCAGUAUAUAGGUCGUGUUCAAUGCAAAUUCUGUUUAUGUAUUGUGAUAAUUGAUUUAUCACAUAUUUAUUGAAAUUUCUGACAGACCAGUCAAAAAUCACAUAACCUCAAUUCAGUGAUAUGAUAUGAAUAUUAUAGAGAAAGACUGCUCAUAACCCUUAUGGGUUAUGUCAAAAUGGAUUUCAAACUAGGGAAAUUUGCUCUAAUCAAGAAGAUAAAUUGUCAUCAAAGAAACAAGCAAGACUUAAAAGCAUGCGAGAAGGAAAACAAAGAAUACACCGGAUAUCACACAUUAUAUGGAUUAAGUGUUGAAGAGAACAUGAAUUGUUGAGUAUUUCGAGUCUGAUGAUCUUGUGUUACAGAAUUGGUAUAUUAAGAAAAUUCACGUCUUAAAAAUUAAGAGGAUAAAAUCAAUGCAAGAAAAUUAUUAAGUGUGUUCAUCGAAUAAUUAUCUCUGUCAUAUGAUUGUAAGUACUACAUAGUCAUCAACUUCAAAUAAGGAGUAUGUUUAGAGAUACAUUAACAGAUGCAAGUGAGUUGAGCAUAUUUAACGCAAGACUUAACUUUGCCAAGUCUGAUUUAACUGAAGUUGCCAAGAGAGUUAAACAUAAUACAUAUUAUGAAUAAAUAAAUAUUUAU
Ctenocephalides felis (cat flea) is the source of this 881-nucleotide long non-coding RNA. RefSeq lists it as uncharacterized. The transcript is spliced from 5 exons. The record is from RefSeq and is a predicted model, not a curated record. NCBI's taxonomy places the organism in Eukaryota, Metazoa, Arthropoda, Insecta, Siphonaptera, Pulicidae.